RNAcentral lists this ribosomal RNA (253 nucleotides) under uncultured bacterium. Its description in RNAcentral is "partial 16S ribosomal RNA". It matches the Rfam family "Bacterial small subunit ribosomal RNA", at positions 524 to 776 of the family's 1533-position model. The record is from RNAcentral.
GACAGAGGUGCCGAGCGUUAGGCGGAAUCACUGGGCUCAAAGCGUGUGUAGGCGGAUCUGUAAGUACCUUGUGAAAUCCCACGGCUCAACCGUGGAACUGCUUGGUAUACUGCGGGUCUUGAGCCACCUAGGGGCAAGUGGAACAAACGGUGGAGCGGUGAAAUGCGUAGAUAUCGGGAAGAACACCCGUGGCGAAGGCGGCACUCUGGGACGGUACUGACGCUGAGACGCGAAAGCGUGGGGAGCGAACAGG